This 65-nucleotide transfer RNA is filed under the name Chrysomeloidea sp. 4 KM-2017. Its description in RNAcentral is "tRNA-Cys". The record is from RNAcentral. Lineage: Eukaryota; Metazoa; Arthropoda; Insecta; Coleoptera.
GGUCUUAUAGUUAAGUUAAUAUUGAAUUGCAAAUUCAAAGACGAAAAUUUUUAUUUCUAAGGCUU